Molecule: ribosomal RNA, 850 nt
Filed under: uncultured bacterium
Lineage: Bacteria
Description: bacterial SSU rRNA
Rfam family: Bacterial small subunit ribosomal RNA
Source: RNAcentral
AUUCUGUCGCAGACCGCUGCACGCGGCGUCUUUCCCGCGGCGAUGUCGGGCUGAGGGUUCCUCCGGUGGGCGGGCGAGUGGUUCCGCUGGAUCUGCCUGGAGGGGGCGGGUUACGCUCGCUGACUGGCGCUCAUACCGUAUACGUCCUACAGGAGAAAGCAGGGGACCUUCGGGCCUUGCGCUAUCACAUGAGCCUAGGUCGGAUUUGCUCGGUGGUGAGGUAAUGGCUCACCAACUCGACUAUCCGUAACUCGUGUGAGAGGAUGAUCAAUCCCACUGGAACUGACACACGGCUGACACUCCUACGGGAGGCUGAAGUGGGGAAUAUUGGACUUUGGGCGAAAGCCUGAUCCUUGCUUGCCGCGGGUGUGAAGAAGGUCUUCGGAUUGUCUGGCCUUUAAGUUGGUAGGCAGGGAUCUAGAUCUAUACUCUGCAAUUUUGACGUUACCGACAGAAUAAGCACCGGCUAACUCUGUGCCAGCAGCCGCGGUAAUACAGAGGGUGCAAGCGUUAAUCGGAAUUACUGGGCGUAAAGCGCGCGUAGGUGGUUUGUUAAGUUGGAUGUGAAAUCCCCGGGCUCAACCUGGGGAACUGCAUUCAAAACUGACUGACUAGAGUAUGGUAGAGGGGUGGUGGAAUUUCCUGUGUAGCGGUGAAAUGCGUAGAUAUAGGAAGGGAACACCAGUGGGCGAAGGCGACCACCUUGGACUAAUACUGACACUGAGGUGCGAAUGUGUGGGGAGCUAACAGGAUUUAGAUACCCUUGUUAUUCCACGUCGUAAACCAUGUCAACUAGCCAUUUGUAGCUUUGAGCUUUUAAUGGCCCACCUAACGCUUUAAGUUUGACGCU